RNAcentral lists this long non-coding RNA (571 nucleotides) under Nicotiana benthamiana. Its description in RNAcentral is "long non-coding RNA (NBEN_LNC015312)". Lineage: Eukaryota; Viridiplantae; Streptophyta; Magnoliopsida; Solanales; Solanaceae. The record is from RNAcentral.
UAUCGAGCUUGGGAUGGUGGAUUUUGAUGUAAUCAUGGGGAUGGAUUGGCUCUAUUCGUGCUUUGCUAAACUUGAUUGCCGGACGAGAAUCAUGAGACUCGAGUUCCUAAUGAGCCAGUUAUUAAAUGGAAGGGAAAUGGCGUUGUGCCGAGGGGUAGGUUUAUUUCCUAUCUCAAGGCUUCGAAGAUGAUCAGGAAGGGCUGUAUCUAUCAUUUAGUCCUGGUGGCAGAAACUACUCCAAAGGUACCUGCCCCCGAGUCCAUGCCAGUUGUGAAUGCGUUUCCUGAGGUAUUUCUAGAUGAGCUUCCAGGAAUUCCGCCAGAUAGGGAGAUUGAUUUUGGGAUUGAUGUAUUGCCAGAUAGGGUUGUAUUUUGUCCUGGGCCCGGGCCUAAACGGGCUUCGCGGGCCGGGCUUCGCGGUCCCGGGGUUCGUGGGCCUGGGCUCUGGCGGUCCCGGUCGUCCUGGGCUCAAUGGGUGAGACCAGCCCGUGACGGGCAUAUGCUCAUGUGGUCCUGGGCUUAGCAGGCCGGACUUGGUGGGCCUGGCGGGCUCUUUUGUAAUUUUUGUUAAG